GUGAGUAACACGUGGGAACGUGCCUUUAGGUUCGGAAUAGCUCCUGGAAACGGGUGGUAAUGCCGAAUGUGCCCUUCGGGGGAAAGAUUUAUCGCCUUUAGAGCGGCCCGCGUCUGAUUAGCUAGUUGGUAAGGUAAUGGCUUACCAAGGCGACGAUCAGUAGCUGGUCUGAGAGGAUGAUCAGCCACAUUGGGACUGAGACACGGCCCAAACUCCUACGGGAGGCAGCAGUGGGGAAUCUUGCGCAAUGGGCGAAAGCCUGACGCAGCCAUGCCGCGUGAAUGAUGAAGGUCUUAGGAUUGUAAAAUUCUUUCACCGGGGACGAUAAUGACGGUACCCGGAGAAGAAGCCCCGGCUAACUUCGUGCCAGCAGCCGCGGUAAUACGAAGGGGGCUAGCGUUGCUCGGAAUUACUGGGCGUAAAGGGCGCGUAGGCGGAUCGUUAAGUCAGAGGUGAAAUCCCGGAGCUCAACUUCGGAAUUGCCUUUGAUACUGGCGAUCUUGAGUGUGAGAGAGGUAUGUGGAACUCCGAGUGUAGAGGUGAAAUUCGUAGAUAU
RNAcentral lists this ribosomal RNA (556 nucleotides) under Brevundimonas sp. AmSamW11ii. Its description in RNAcentral is "bacterial SSU rRNA". It matches the Rfam family "Bacterial small subunit ribosomal RNA", at positions 106 to 697 of the family's 1533-position model. The record is from RNAcentral. Lineage: Bacteria; Pseudomonadati; Pseudomonadota; Alphaproteobacteria; Caulobacterales; Caulobacteraceae.